GUCACUUUCUUACCAGCCGAUUCUUUUGCCCACUUACUUUUAGUCCAUUCCUUUGAAGUGAACAUCUUCCUCAAAUUAGUGUUUUGCUUAUGCAUCCGUUGAUGGGUAAGAAAAGUAGUCGCAAAUAUUGUGACAACAGGUGUAAUUAGUUCUCAUUCACCAGUGAAGUGCGACAACAGAUUCACCACACUCGGACGAACAUAAAUGUACCCAUUCAAAGUCACUGCCCUUUU
Molecule: unclassified non-coding RNA, 233 nt
Filed under: Hevea brasiliensis (rubber tree)
Lineage: Eukaryota; Viridiplantae; Streptophyta; Magnoliopsida; Malpighiales; Euphorbiaceae
Source: RNAcentral